CUCAGCAUCCAAAGCCUGUCCCCUCAGCUCAGAAUGUCAUAACAAAGAAGUCUAAUUCCUUUCUAACAAGAAUAAAAUAUUUGUACAGGUUGAUAGGGACCUUGGGAAACUGUGUCAGUAAUGGUGAUUCAGAGUUUUCACAUCCUUACUGAAUAUUUUGAAGAAAUUAUGAAGUGAAACUGCCUAACUUUGUCAUCCCAGAAUGUCUGGGAUUUCUUUCUUUUUU
Non-coding RNA from Pelobates cultripes (western spadefoot toad), 226 nucleotides. The record is from the annotation of a GenBank genome assembly. NCBI's taxonomy places the organism in Eukaryota, Metazoa, Chordata, Amphibia, Anura, Pelobatidae.